RNAcentral lists this transfer RNA (75 nucleotides) under Candidatus Bathyarchaeota archaeon. Its description in RNAcentral is "tRNA-Thr". It matches the Rfam family "tRNA". From Rfam's summary of the family: Transfer RNA (tRNA) molecules are approximately 80 nucleotides in length. Lineage: Archaea; Thermoproteati; Candidatus Bathyarchaeota. The record is from RNAcentral. RNAcentral also lists the same sequence under 2 other names.
GCCUCGGUAGCUCAGUGGUAGAGCGGCACCCUCGUAAGGUGUAGGCCGCGGGUUCGAAUCCCGUUCGAGGCUCCA